This 253-nucleotide unclassified non-coding RNA is filed under the name uncultured Myxococcales bacterium. RNAcentral describes it as "contains 16S-23S intergenic spacer region". It matches the Rfam family "Bacterial small subunit ribosomal RNA", at positions 524 to 776 of the family's 1533-position model. The record is from RNAcentral. Lineage: Bacteria; Pseudomonadati; Myxococcota; Myxococcia; Myxococcales.
GACAGAGGGUGCAAACGUUGUUCGGAAUCACUGGGCGUAAAGCGCGUGUAGGCGGCGAGGUGUGUCGGGUGUGAAAGCCCACGGCUCAACCGUGGAAGUGCAUUCGAAACUGCCUUGCUAGAGUCCUGGAGAGGAAGGUGGAAUACUCGGUGUAGAGGUGAAAUUCGUAGAUAUCGAGUGGAACACCGGUGGCGAAGGCGGCCUUCUGGAAAGUGACUGACGCUGAGACGCGAAAGCGUGGGGAGCAAACAGG